Molecule: non-coding RNA, 199 nt
Filed under: Bradyrhizobium lablabi
Lineage: Bacteria; Pseudomonadati; Pseudomonadota; Alphaproteobacteria; Hyphomicrobiales; Nitrobacteraceae
Source: RNAcentral
UCUACCAUAAUUCCCGACGGUUCCCGUUUGGGGAUCAAAAGGGAAUGCGGUGCGGGGAAAUCCCCCAAUUCCGCGGCUGCCCCCGCAACUGUAAGCGGCGAAUCCUUCGUCACACGCCACUGGGCAUCUCGGUCCUGGGAAGGCGACGAUGGGGUAACGACCCGCGAGCCAGGAGACCUGCCGUCAGCCGUGGUCACAC